RNAcentral lists this ribosomal RNA (1452 nucleotides) under uncultured bacterium. RNAcentral's name for it is "partial 16S ribosomal RNA". It matches the Rfam family "Bacterial small subunit ribosomal RNA". The record is from RNAcentral.
AGAGUUUGAUCAUGGCUCAGAACGUACGCUGGCGGCACGCCUUAUACAUGCAAGUCGAACGAAGUAGCAAUACUUAGUGGCAGACGGGUGAGUAACAUGUAGGUAUCUUCCCUUUGGUGAGGAAUAACACGAGGAAACUUGUGCUAAUACCUCAUAAGUCUUCACGGAGAAAGCUUUAUGCGCCGAAGGAUGAGCCUGCACUUGAUUAGUUUGUUGGUGGGGUAAUGGCCUACCAAGACUUUGAUCAAUAGCUGAUCUGAGAGGAUGAUCAGCCACAUUGGGACUGAGACACGGCCCAAACUCCUACGGGAGGCAGCAGUAGGGAAUAUUGCACAAUGGAGGAAACUCUGAUGCAGCGAUGCCGCGUGAGUGAAGAAGGCCUUUGGGUUGUAAAGCUCUUUCGUCGGGGAAGAAAAUGACUGUACCCGAAUAAGAAGGUCCGGCUAACUUCGUGCCAGCAGCCGCGGUAAUACGAAGGGACCUAGCGUAGUUCGGAAUUACUGGGCUUAAAGAGUUCGUAGGUUGUUAAAAAAGUUGGUGGUGAAAUCCCAGAGCUUAACUCUGGAACUGCCAUCAAAACUUUUUAGCUAGAGUAUGAUAGAGGAAAGCAGAAUUUCUAGUGUAGAGGUGAAAUUCGUAGAUAUUAGAAAGAAUACCAAUUGCGAAGGCAGCUUUCUGGAUCAUUACUGACACUGAGGAACGAAAGCAUGGGUAGCGAAGAGGAUUAGAUACCCUGGUAGUCCACGCCGUAAACGAUGACAACUAGCCGUUGGGCAGAUUUAACUGUUCAGUGGCACAGCUAACGCAUUAAGUUGUCCGCCUGGGGAGUACGGCCGCAAGGCUAAAACUCAAAUGAAUUGACGGGGGCCCGCACAAGUGGUGGAGCAUGUGGUUUAAUUCGAUGCAACGCGAAGAACCUUACCAAUCCUUGAAAUCUAGCGAAGCUCGCAGAGAUGUGAAUGUGCCUUCGGGAACGCUAUGACAGGUGUUGCAUGGCUGUCGUCAGCUCGUGUCGUGAGAUGUAUGGUUAAGUCCAGUAACGAGCGCAACCCCUAUCCUUAUUUGCCAGCGCGUAAUGGCGGGAACUAUAGGGAGACUGCCGGGUGAAACCCGGAGGAAGGCGGGGACGAGGUCAAGUCAUCAUGGCCCUUACGAGUAGGGCUACACACGUGCUACAAUGGGGAAUACAGACGGACGCUAAGCCGCGAGGUGGUGCUAAUCCUAUAAAGUUCUUCGUAGUCCGGAUUGGAGUCUGCAACUCGACUCCAUGAAGUCGGAAUCGCUAGUAAUCGCGAAUCAGCAUGUCGCGGUGAAUACGUUCUCGGGUCUUGUACACACCGCCCGUCACACCAUGGAAGUGGAUUGCACCAGAAGUAGAUAGUCUAACCUUCGGGAGGGCGUUUACCACGGUGUGCUUCAUGACUGGGGUGAAGUCGUAACAAGGUAACCGUA